GAUGAACGCUGGCGGCAUGCCUAAUACAUGCAAGUCGAACGAGAGGAAGGAAAGCUUGCUUUUCUGAAUCUAGUGGCGAACGGGUGAGUAACACGUAGGUAACCUGCCCAUGUGCCCGGGAUAACUUCUGGAAACGGAUGCUAAAACCGGAUAGAUAGCAGACAAGCAUUUGACUGCUAUUAAAGUGGCUAAGGCCAUGAACAUGGAUGGACCUGCGGUGCAUUAGCUAGUUGGUGAGGUAACGGCCCUCCAAGGCGACGAUGCAUAGCCGGCCUGAGAGGGCGGACGGCCACAUUGGGACUGAGACACGGCCCAAACUCCUACGGGAGGCAGCAGUAGGGAAUUUUCGUCAAUGGGGGGAACCCUGAACGAGCAAUGCCGCGUGAGUGAGGAAGGUCUUCGGAUCGUAAAGCUCUGUUGUAAGAGAAAAACGACAUUCAUAGGGAAUGAUGAGUGAGUGAUGGUAUCUUACCAGAAAGUCACGGCUAACUACGUGCCAGCCGCCGCGGUAA
This 512-nucleotide ribosomal RNA is filed under the name uncultured bacterium. Its description in RNAcentral is "partial 16S ribosomal RNA". It matches the Rfam family "Bacterial small subunit ribosomal RNA", at positions 28 to 523 of the family's 1533-position model. The record is from RNAcentral.